CGAAUCCUAAAUUGUUUGCGGAUACAAAAUAUCAAUUUUGACCGAACAAUACGAUGUCGGGAGCUUAAAUUUCUACUAGGCAAACAAGCCCGCAUUUAAGCCGGGACGUUUAAUGAGUAGAUGAGGGCACCCCCUUUGGUAAGCACCGGGUUCAAAAGACCUUUGCAGGAAUGCGGCAAUUUGGGAUUUGU
Molecule: non-coding RNA, 191 nt
Filed under: Ureibacillus manganicus DSM 26584
Lineage: Bacteria; Bacillati; Bacillota; Bacilli; Caryophanales; Caryophanaceae
Description: Lysinibacillus manganicus DSM 26584 6S / SsrS RNA
Rfam family: 6S / SsrS RNA
About the family: E. coli 6S RNA was the first non coding RNA to be sequenced, but its function was unknown until recently. It consists of 184 nucleotides that fold into an extended hairpin structure with a large single-stranded internal bulge.
Source: Rfam by way of RNAcentral